This 481-nucleotide ribosomal RNA is filed under the name uncultured bacterium. Its description in RNAcentral is "partial 16S ribosomal RNA". It matches the Rfam family "Bacterial small subunit ribosomal RNA", at positions 28 to 507 of the family's 1533-position model. The record is from RNAcentral.
GAUGAACGCUGGCGGCGUGCUUAACACAUGCAAGUCGAACGAAGCAUUUAGGACAGAUUACUUCGGUUUGAAGUUCUUUAUGACUGAGUGGCGGACGGGUGAGUAACGCGUGGGUAACCUGCCUUGUACUGGGGGAUAGCAGCUGGAAACGGCUGGUAAUACCGCAUAAGCGCACAAUGUUGCAUGACAUGGUGUGAAAAACUCCGGUGGUAUAAGAUGGACCCGCGUCUGAUUAGCUAGUUGGUGAGAUAACAGCCCACCAAGGCGACGAUCAGUAGCCGACCUGGGAGGGUGACCGGCCACAUUGGGACUGAGACACGGCCCAGACUCCUACGGGAGGCAGCAGUGGGGAAUAUUGCACAAUGGAGGAAACUCUGAUGCAGCGACGCCGCGUGAGUGAAGAAGUAAUUCGUUAUGUAAAGCUCUAUCAGCAGGGAAGAUAGUGACGGUACCUGACUAAGAAGCUCCGGCUAAAUACGUG